Sapajus apella (tufted capuchin) is the source of this 1998-nucleotide long non-coding RNA. RefSeq lists it as uncharacterized. NCBI's taxonomy places the organism in Eukaryota, Metazoa, Chordata, Mammalia, Primates, Cebidae. The record is from RefSeq and is a predicted model, not a curated record. The transcript is spliced from 3 exons.
CUUUCGAUUGUAACUGGGACAAUUUGCAUAGUGAUUCCCUUUCAGAGCUUUCCCGGGUCCAUAACAAGCCCAGGCAGCUAUUCAAAUGCAAGUUGCAUCCCCAAAUGCGAGGCUGGCCUGACCAAAAAGAGCCACUCGGAGCGCGCGGGAGAGGCGAGACUAGCGCUCGGGUUCUCAUCCUUCUCUUUUCUCCUUUCUUUUUCCCUUUCUCCUCUCCGGUUCCUGAUUUAGCUAGGAGCUGUUUAUUUAUGGCUGCAAAUGUGUGUGUGCAAGAGAGAGAGGGAAUUGAUCUUUGCCUGGACUUAAAGAUGGAGCCGAAGAAGCUGGAGGGAAUUUGGGCUUGUGCGUCUGGCUCAGACCCUGGUUGCCUAGGGGGGCCGCUGGGCGCCAAGCCCGAGGUCUAUCCUCCACGCACCUCUCGUCCCGCGACCUUGCAGGAAUCCGCGGGCCCGGAUGCAGCCCGGCUGACCCUCCUGCCCCAGGCCCGGCUGCAGAGAAAGUCUUCGGGCAGGAGGCCAUCCCGUCUCUGUCUUUAAAAUGAGCACAAUAAAAGGGGGCAAAUCCUCGAACACGAACUUGAUCUCAUGUCACAGAAGCAACUUGCCAUGAAAUCCGCUAAUGCGCCGCUACUCGACCACCAGGGCAGCAUGCGGCGGCCGAACUGCACCUGCGUUUGUGAGCCUUGUAGAAAUGGAGCCCGCCGGAUUCCCUCACCCGGAGAAAUCCCCAAAUUGAAACUUGACUACACUUCCCAGGGCUAGUUGACGGUUUCAUAAUCUCCCAGGUUUGCUGGCUGUCUCACCAAAUCCAAGCCAAACCUGCUAUAAACAUGAUCACAGGCCUCUGACCUUGCAGCACUGACCGUUAACUCGGUGGCAAAACCAGCUCCUCUGGUCAGAGGGCACUAAAGCAGCGGCUGAAUUCGUGUUUGUUUCCUUGAAUGGUCAGAAAAAUGUAGUCUUCUUAAACCUACAAAAACAGCCGAACACAUUUUCAAAUGUGUUUUGCUUAUAUGGGUUCGAGUGCUGGAAGCUGUCUGGCGGUGAGCAUUUUCGUUGCGCGUGGUUUAUGCGGAGCACCCGGGACGUUUUUCUCGUCUUUUACGUUAUGGUAUCUUUUAAAAAUGUAGAAUGUGUCUCUGGUUCACAGUAUGUUCUUUAACAACCAGAUUUGUAAGAGGACAUUUGAAAUUGAGUGGUGAGAAAAGCAGACUGGAAAGUACAAAUAAACCCAAUCCAAAGUGAAAACAAAUUAGACAGAUGAAAUUAUUAUGAAAGAAGAUGGGGUAUUAACUUGUCUGGAAAAAUCUAGUUUAUAAUCUGAACUUUACAGAUGCAAUGGCAACACAGAACAAAUCCAAAGGAAUUAUAUCUGUUCUUUUGCCCUCCCAGUCAUCUGGGCCAGGUGCACAUUUUGGGGCACUUUGAAGGACAGAUAAGCUUUGGGACAUUUCCAUACUUUUUUGAUAAACUGCAGCCAAUUAGGUGACCUUUAGUCCUGGUGGAAAACAAUUUAAAAUUUAUUCCUGGCUUUAGGGGACAAAAGAAAAAUUUUAAACCCUGGCAGUUAAAUUAUUACUGGUUUCUACAGGAUUAAUUUGAUGUAAAUAAUCUACUCUCCUGGGGGAGGAGGUGAGGCCUGGCAUUCUAGAAGGGCCAGUCAGGUGGUGACAAAACUCUCUGCCUUGGGAUUUUGAGGGGUAUGUUGGGUGGCUCUGAACCUGGUUUUGGGUUUGUUGCAUCUCUCGCUCUCUUAAAACAGUAACUCAAGAUGUAAGUAAAAGUGUUUUCAUUUUUUAUUGAUCCCGCUAACAUCUUUCAUUAUCCAGCAUGUAGCCACAGCAAAUUAUUGCUCAUUUGAUACUGAGAAUUCUAUUGACCAUCCCUUUCAUUGGAGAGAGAAUUCUAACUACUUGGCUGCUCUGUCGUCAGUCAGAGCUAAAGCUGAGGACUUUCCACGACUGAAACCAAAAUAAAUUGAGCCUUCUGCCUCCAGAAA